AAUGAACGCUGGCGGCAUGGAUUAGGCAUGCAAGUCGAACGUGCUCCCUUCGGGGAGAAAGUGGCGAAAGGGUGAGUAACACGUGAGCAACCUGCCUCCGGAUCCGGAAUAAUCCAGGGAAACUUGGUCUAAAACCGGAUGAAGACAUUGGUCCGCAUGGUCUAAUGUUAAAAUAUUUAUAGUCCGGAGAGGGGCUCGCGGCCCAUUAGCUUGUUGGCGGGGUAAUGGCCCACCAAGGCUACGACGGGUAGGUGGUCUGAGAGGAUGGUCACCCACACUGGGACUGAGACACUGCCCAAACUCCUACGGGAGGCUGCAGUCGAGAAUCUUCCGCAAUGGGCGCCAAGCCUGACGGAGCGAUGCCGCGUGAGGGAUGAAGGCCUUCGGGUUGUAAACCUCUGUCAUCCGGGACGAAAACAAUGACGGUACCGGAAAAGGAAGCCACGGCUAACCACGUGCCAGCCGCCGC
This 469-nucleotide ribosomal RNA is filed under the name uncultured bacterium. RNAcentral describes it as "bacterial SSU rRNA". It matches the Rfam family "Bacterial small subunit ribosomal RNA", at positions 29 to 518 of the family's 1533-position model. The record is from RNAcentral.